ACUCAACAUUAUACCUUUAUAAAGGAUAAGUCUCAAUUGUAAAAGCAUGCCGUUUUUAACGGAUCCUUGAUCAAUUAGUUAGUCCUAAACUUGUUUAAAGGAGUUU
Molecule: non-coding RNA, 106 nt
Organism: Lutibacter sp. BRH_c52
Lineage: Bacteria; Pseudomonadati; Bacteroidota; Flavobacteriia; Flavobacteriales; Flavobacteriaceae
Source: Rfam